GAUGAACGCUGGCGGCGUGCCUAAUACAUGCAAGUCGAGCGAACAGAUGAGGAGCUUGCUCCUCUGACGUUAGCGGCGGACGGGUGAGUAACACGUGGAUAACCUACCUAUAAGACUGGGAUAACUUCGGGAAACCGGAGCGAAUACCGGAUAAUAUAUUGAACCGCAUGGUUCAAUAGUGAAAGACGGUUUUGCUGUCACUUAUAGAUGGAUGCGCGCCGCAUUAGCUAGUUGGUAAGGUAACGGCUUACCAAGGCAACGAUGCGUAGCCGACCUGAGAGGGUGAUCGGCCACACUGGAACUGAGACACGGUCCAGACUCCUACGGGAGGCAGCGGUGGGGAAUCUACCGCAAUGGGCGAGAGCGUGACGGAGCAACGCCGCGUGAGUGAUGAAGGUCUUCGGAUCGUAAAACUCUGUUAUGCGGGAAAAGCAAAUGUGUAAGUAUCUAUGCACGUCUUGACGGUACCGAAUCAGAAAGCCACGGCUAACUACGU
RNAcentral lists this ribosomal RNA (496 nucleotides) under uncultured bacterium. RNAcentral describes it as "partial 16S ribosomal RNA". It matches the Rfam family "Bacterial small subunit ribosomal RNA", at positions 28 to 506 of the family's 1533-position model. The record is from RNAcentral.